Molecule: ribosomal RNA, 403 nt
Filed under: bacterium
Lineage: Bacteria
Also listed under: 1 other name
Description: partial 16S ribosomal RNA
Rfam family: Bacterial small subunit ribosomal RNA
Source: RNAcentral
UGGGGAAUAUUGCACAAUGGAGGGAACUCUGAUGCAGCGACGCCGCGUGAACGAAGAAGGCUUUCGAGUCGUAAAGUUCUUUUAUAUGGGAAGAUAAUGACGGUACCAUAAGAAAAAGCCCCGGCUAACUACGUGCCAGCAGCCGCGGUAAUACGUAGGGGGCUAGCGUUGUCCGGAAUCACUGGGCGUAAAGGGUUCGCAGGCGGAAAUGCAAGUCAGGUGUAAAAGGCAGUAGCUUAACUACUGUAAGCAUUUGAAACUGCAUAUCUUGAGAAGAGUAGAGGUAAGUGGAAUUUUUAGUGUAGCGGUGAAAUGCGCAGAUAUUAAAAAGAAUACCGGUGGCGAAGGCGACUUACUGGGCUCAUUCUGACGCUGAGGAACGAAAGCGUGGGUAGCAAACAGG